CGUUGGCUGCAUGUGCUAUGUGAUUGUUGCUGUUGGGAGCUUCGACGCUGAGACCGGCGGCUGAACUUAUGCUUGCUGUCGCUGUAUUUACGGUUGAGAAGUCACCAGGCAUGGCGGUGGUGAGUGGAGGGAACGGUGGUUGAGGUGGGGGUGGGUCCAUGAUGAGAUAGAAGGAGAGAAAUUUUCUUAUUUUUGUUCUAGACAAGAAAAAAAAAAUUCUGUUUCUAGAGACAGAUAGAAAAAGGACUAGGCUAAAUCGCUGAAGUGUAUGGU
Molecule: unclassified non-coding RNA, 273 nt
Filed under: Hevea brasiliensis (rubber tree)
Lineage: Eukaryota; Viridiplantae; Streptophyta; Magnoliopsida; Malpighiales; Euphorbiaceae
Source: RNAcentral